Molecule: long non-coding RNA, 1316 nt
Organism: Mya arenaria
Lineage: Eukaryota; Metazoa; Mollusca; Bivalvia; Myida; Myidae
Exons: 9
Source: RefSeq, a predicted model, not a curated record
UGCCACUCGGAGUUCCCCGGCCAUUUUUAUCGAAAAUACAAAAAUCGCCGAGGAGCUCCGAAUGUAGUUUGCGAAAGAGGAGCUAUCACCCGGACUUGAAGACAGUCUGUACUGCUUUCCGCGAGGAGCUAUCACCCGGACUACUGAUCACCCCCAAUCAGCCUGGGUUUCUCUUAGAAAAGACGUCGCCAAUGGCCUCUGUGCACAUUGCACAUGUAUGGAAAGAGAUAAAAAAGGGCUGCACAAGCGUGUGCAUAUUGGUUGGGAAUAAGUGCAGACAUGUUCAGAGUGAAGCCAACAAACUACCUGACCUUUUCAGGCAGCUGCUACACUGGAUCUAGCGUCACAAGUGAACUUGUCUUUCAGUCAUUUCAUGAAUGCUUGCAAGAUUAUCUGCUAUAGAGGACCUUUGUAAAGGAGAAAGUGGAAGACCAAAUGUCAGAAGGGGAUAUGUCAACACCAGGAUCCCAGGUUUAAGCCCCUGCCUCACCACUACGAAAUAUUAACCAUCUUCCGGGAGGGAUGUUAAAUGGAGGUCUGUGUGACAGUGGAAUGCACAGUUUGAUACCAUUUUUGGAUGUGUACCAGUUGGAAGGGGCGUUUGUAUGGGCAGUGAUAACUGACUUCUGAAAGAAUUCACUUACCUCACAACCUCUGGGCGUUACCUCAUGAACCAAACUUGGGUAUGUGAAGAAUGCCUACUCUGGAUGAACUGUUCCAUCUUGUUCGCACUCAAACUCGUCAUCUAAGAAGCCCAGUCUGAGAAUGGCCAUGACUCAUACUUUCCUCCGACACAAUGUUAUUUGAGUGUGGUCUUGUGAUGUGAGGGAAACCAGGGUAUCCGGAAAAAAACAACUUGUCCCGUUUGGUGAACACAAACCAAACUCACAUGCAGUGCCCAGGGCGUGAAUCGAACUGGGGUCACCUAGGUGAAAAGUGAAUGCGCUGACCACUGCGCUUACCGGCUCAAACAACCAAACAGAACCUUGAGAAUGGACUGGCGACAAGGAGAUUGCACUGGCAUGUCUGACAGGUCUCCCACAACUCUUCAAAUUAGACAGAACGCUGCUCUUCUGGUUUUGAAGUGGAGGCUGAUGUGCAAAUACAUGAAGACCCGGCUGACUUGAAGACAAUAUAUAUGCAAAUAGAUGGAUUACAGGGCCUCAUGUUUAUUUUUGUUGUUUUUAUCGCAUUUGCCAUACUUAUUAUUGCUUUUUUCUUCCUCACUGUGCCAUAUGUGUUAAACACAGGAAUUAAAAAUAAUAUUUAUAUAAUUAAACAAUCGGCAAUCAUUCUGAACUUGUUGUUUAGGCAUC